RNAcentral lists this transfer RNA (72 nucleotides) under Loxodonta africana (African savanna elephant). It matches the Rfam family "tRNA". From Rfam's summary of the family: Transfer RNA (tRNA) molecules are approximately 80 nucleotides in length. Lineage: Eukaryota; Metazoa; Chordata; Mammalia; Proboscidea; Elephantidae. The record is from Rfam by way of RNAcentral.
GCCUUGGUGGCAUAAUGGUUAUGUGCUCGGCUGCUAACCGAAAGGUUGGUGGUUUGAAUCCACCUACUGGCU